AGUCCACCUCAAUGCCAGACAUCUAUAAAUUCAGGCUGUGCUGAGCAUCUAUCUAAAAUGGACUAAUAUAAAAUGGAGUUUUAAUAUCCUAGUGCCUGAAGAUAUCACUCUCUUCUUGCUCUCUUGGAACUUAAAACUACAACUA
RNAcentral lists this small nucleolar RNA (145 nucleotides) under Drosophila grimshawi. Its description in RNAcentral is "snoRNA:GH25837". Lineage: Eukaryota; Metazoa; Arthropoda; Insecta; Diptera; Drosophilidae. The record is from RNAcentral.